Pecten maximus is the source of this 446-nucleotide long non-coding RNA. RefSeq lists it as uncharacterized. NCBI's taxonomy places the organism in Eukaryota, Metazoa, Mollusca, Bivalvia, Pectinida, Pectinidae. The transcript has 5 exons. The record is from RefSeq and is a predicted model, not a curated record.
CACGAUAUCAUGGAGGCGACAUUUACAUAAAAUUUGGUUUUCUGUUUGGUAUUCCCCUUCUUACAAUAUUCUAAACAUAUAUAUUACGUUUUUGUUGCAGUGUCAAGACGAGGUGUGCAAAGAAGUGUGUGAAAAGCGAACUUUACACUUUAAGAAGUGCAAUAAAGUGUAUCCACAACGUUUGUGUGAUAAGAUUUGGCCAGAUGACAUGGUUAAUUGACGCCAGAUAGGCAUCAACUAGACAACUGUUCUUCCAUAAUGUUUUCAAAUUCUGUCUCUGUCUGUAGAUCAUUCAUCAGCUAAUGAAUUUACACCUAAUAUUUUUCUCACACCUUCUAGUAAUGUGGACGGAAUAAAGAAUAUAUCAAAGUAUGUUUUGUGAAUAGGAAACAACAGAAUGAGUGCUGCGCAGUUAAACAUCAGUGGAUAUACGCGAUACACAUUUA